AUGUUCCUGCCACUCCCCCGCCACAGACCCUUUUGGACAAAUGACAAGAGACGGAAUAGGAGGCCCCAGUCCUGGCACCCGACGUCCAGCUUCACAGCCCGCCUGGAGCUAAGCCCAGGGGCCAUCUCCGUGGGAGGGGAGGAGACCUGUGCUGCGUUCAACGCGAACGCCGCAGUCUCUAAGGAGACAGGGGAACUUUUCACUGCUUAUUGCUGCUGCCACCAUGCUGGCUUCCUGGCCCACAUGUGGACCAAGAUUCUAUUUUUGAUUCCCUGCAACACACCUGAAGGGAGAAUGGAGCACAAAGGAUUAGAAUUGCAACAAGGCUCCCAUAUGCUCAGCCAGACUAAUUUUCCAGAACCCCCCAGAGUCAAGGGGCCAGCUUUGCAAGAUAAGAAACCGCCUGAACAAACACCACCUCAAGCAAUGGAGAAGAGGGAUGGGCCUAAAUGGAGCUUGGGAAGACCCCUGGAAGCAUAUCCUGAAACUGAUUUGAGAACCUCCCUGUUGCGUUUUCUCACAGAAUUACAGGGGGAAACCCAAUCAGUAACUCAACUGCCACACCACAAGGAUAAACUUGCUUGCAUCUCUUGCAUGCUGGUCUGUGUGUUCUUUAAGGGCCAUGCAGGAGUGUAUAAUGGGCAUAGCCUUUGAGAUCAGUAGGACCUGAGUUCAAAUCUUGGGUCUGUACUUACUUGCUGUGUGAUCUUGGGCUACUUAUUCAAUCUCUCUGAAUCUCCAUAAAAUUAAGUAAGUACUACAUUGUAGACUUCUUUAUGAAGAAAUAAAAUCAGACUGUAAACACACAUACCACCUAGCAGAGAGUAGGAGUCAUCUGUGAUCAUUCCCAAAUCUCCAGGGAACUCGUCUCAUUUGUCCCUGGUCCCCAAUAUGCUCAGUGCUCAGAGAGUAUGUUUUAAAUGAAAACGAUGUUUGCCUUACCUAACCUAACAUUUGGGUUGGUCUCCUUUCAAGGAGAAUUAAAGAUGUCAGUGCUUACUUUUAUAUUGUC
This 1012-nucleotide long non-coding RNA is filed under the name Capra hircus (goat). RNAcentral describes it as "lncRNA (ENSCHIG00000004164.1)". Lineage: Eukaryota; Metazoa; Chordata; Mammalia; Artiodactyla; Bovidae. The record is from RNAcentral.